UGAGGCCUUUCCAUUAGUUCUU
This 22-nucleotide unclassified non-coding RNA is filed under the name Dictyostelium discoideum. The record is from RNAcentral. Lineage: Eukaryota; Evosea; Eumycetozoa; Dictyosteliales; Dictyosteliaceae.